GAUGAACGCUGGCGGCGUGCCUAAUACAUGCAAGUCGAGCGAACAGACGAGGAGCUUGCUCCUCUGACGUUAGCGGCGGACGGGUGAGUAACACGUGGAUAACCUACCUAUAAGACUGGGAUAACUUCGGGAAACCGGAGCUAAUACCGGAUAAUAUAUUGAACCGCAUGGUUCAAUAGUGAAAGACGGUUUUGCUGUCACUUAUAGAUGGAUCCGCGCCGCAUUAGCUAGUUGGUAAGGUAACGGCUUACCAAGGCAACGAUGCGUAGCCGACCUGAGAGGGUGAUCGGCCACACUGGAACUGAGACACGGCACAGACUCCGACGGGAGGCAGCAGUAGGGAAUCUUCCGCAAUGGGCGAAAGCUUGACGGAGCAACGCCGCGUGAGUGAUGAAGGUCUUCGGAUCGUAAAACUCUGUUAUUAGGGAAGAACAAAUGUGUAAGUACCUAUGCACGUCUUGACGGUACCUAAUCAGAAAGCCACGGCUAACUACGUG
This 497-nucleotide ribosomal RNA is filed under the name uncultured bacterium. RNAcentral describes it as "partial 16S ribosomal RNA". It matches the Rfam family "Bacterial small subunit ribosomal RNA", at positions 28 to 507 of the family's 1533-position model. The record is from RNAcentral.